RNAcentral lists this long non-coding RNA (317 nucleotides) under Durio zibethinus. RNAcentral describes it as "long non-coding RNA (DZIB_LNC000786)". The record is from RNAcentral. Lineage: Eukaryota; Viridiplantae; Streptophyta; Magnoliopsida; Malvales; Malvaceae.
CAAGCUUCAUGGUAUAUCUUGCGUCUUAGAGCCUUCACUACUCAGUUAAAUAAAUAAAAAAAAAGUUUCCUUCGUUAAAAAUCAUAUCCGGCUUUGUUCAUUUGUUCAUAGAAGGUUUGUUUCCAUUUAUAGUUGAUGUCCAUUUAUAAUUGAUGUAACAAUAGCACUUUUAGUUAUUGAUUAUACUCUAGUUUGCAUUCACAAAUAUAGCAUAUAACAAAAACGCCAACAAGAAGAUGCCAACACUGCUAAAUCAUAUCAACCUCAUUGAGACUACUUUGUCUGUUAAUAUAAAGGGAAAAAAAAAAGACAAAUUA